Molecule: ribosomal RNA, 515 nt
Filed under: uncultured bacterium
Lineage: Bacteria
Description: partial 16S ribosomal RNA
Rfam family: Bacterial small subunit ribosomal RNA
Source: RNAcentral
GAUGAACGCUGGCGGCGUGCCUAAUACAUGCAAGUCGAGCGAAUGGAUUAAGAGCUUGCUCUUAUGAAGUUAGCGGCGGACUGGUGAGUAACACGUGGGUGACCUGCCCAUAAGACUGGGAUAACUCCGGGAAACCGGGGCUAAUACCGGAUAACAUUUUGAACCGCCUGGUUCGAAAUUGAAAGGCGGCUUCGGCUGUCACUUAUGUAUGGACCCGCGUCGCAUUAGCUAGUUGGUAAGGUAACGGCUCACCAAGGCAACGAUGCGUAGCCGACCUGAGAGGGUGAUCGGCCACACUGGGACUGAGACACGGCCCAGACUCCUACGGGAGGCAGCAGUAGGGAAUCUUCCGCAAUGGACGAAAGUCUGACGGAGCAACGCCGCGUGAGUGAUGAAGGCUUUCGGGUCGUAAAACUCUGUUGUUAGGGAAGAACAAGUGCUAGUUGAAUAAGCUGGCACCUUGACGGUACCCAACCAGAAAGCCACGGCUAACUACGUGCCAGCCGCCGCGGUAA